GACGAACGCUGGCGGCGUGCUUAACACAUGCAAGUCGAACGGAAAGGCCCUGCGUUUGUGGGGUGCUCGAGUGGCGAACGGGUGAGUAACACGUGAGUAAACUGCACUUGACUUUGGGAGAACAUCAGGAAACUGGGGCUAAUACCGGAUAGGAGCUCCUGCUGCAUGGUGGGGGUUGGAAAGUUUCGGCGGUUGGGGAUGGACUCGCGGCUUAUCAGCUGGAUGGUGGGGUAGUGGAUUACCAAGGCUUUGACGGGUAGCCGGCCUGAGAGGGUGACCGGCCACAUUGGUCCUGCGAUACGCCCCAGACUCCUACGGGAGGCAGCAGUGGAGAAUCUUGCACAAUGGGCCGAAGCCUGAUGCAGCAACGCCCCGUGCGGGAUGACGUCCUUCUGGUUGUAAACCUCUUUCUCCUGUGACGAAGCGUGAGUGACGGUACUGGGUAAAGAAGCACCGGCUAACUACGUG
This 468-nucleotide ribosomal RNA is filed under the name uncultured bacterium. RNAcentral describes it as "partial 16S ribosomal RNA". It matches the Rfam family "Bacterial small subunit ribosomal RNA", at positions 28 to 507 of the family's 1533-position model. The record is from RNAcentral.